CGCGUGGGAACGUGCCCUUCACUACGGAAUAGUCCCGGGAAACUGGGUUUAAUGCCGUAUACGCCCUUCGGGGGAAAGAAUUUCGGUGAGGGAUCGGCCCGCGUUAGAUUAGAUAGUUGGUGGGGUAAUGGCCUACCAAGUCUACGAUCUAUAGCUGGUUUUAGAGGAUGAUCAGCAACACUGGGACUGAGACACGGCCCAGACUCCUACGGGAGGCAGCAGUGGGGAAUCUUAGACAAUGGGGGCAACCCUGAUCUAGCCAUGCCGCGUGAACGAUGAAGGCCUUAGGGUUGUAAAGUUCUUUCAGCUGGGAAGAUAAUGACGGUACCAGCAGAAGAAGCCCCGGCUAACUCCGUG
Molecule: ribosomal RNA, 357 nt
Filed under: uncultured Alphaproteobacteria bacterium
Lineage: Bacteria; Pseudomonadati; Pseudomonadota; Alphaproteobacteria
Description: bacterial SSU rRNA
Rfam family: Bacterial small subunit ribosomal RNA
Source: RNAcentral